GGUGAAAAGCACCCCGGAAGGGGAGUGAAAUAGAACCUGAAACCGUGUGCUUACAAGUAGUCAGAGCCCGUUAAUGGGUGAUGGCGUGCCUUUUGUAGAAUGAACCGGCGAGUUACGAUUUGAUGCAAGGUUAAGCAGUAAAUGUGGAGCCGUAGCGAAAGCGAGUCUGAAUAGGGCGUUUAGUAUUUGGUCGUAGACCCGAAACCAGGUGAUCUACCCUUGGUCAGGUUGAAGUUCAGGUAACACUGAAUGGAGGACCGAACCGACUUACGUUGAAAAGUGAGCGGAUGAACUGAGGGUAGCGGAGAAAUUCCAAUCGAACCUGGAGAUAGCUGGUUCUCUCCGAAAUAGCUUUAGGGCUAGCCUCAAGUGAUGAUUAUUGGAGGUAGAGCACUGUUUGGACGAGGGGCCCCUCUCGGGUUACCGAAUUCAGACAAACUCCGAAUGCCAAUUAAUUUAACUUGGGAGUCAGAACAUGGGUGAUAAGGUCCGUGUUCGAAAGGGAAACAGCCCAGACCACCAGCUAAGGUCCCAAAAUAUAUGUUAAGUGGAAAAGGAUGUGGCGUUGCCCAGACAACUAGGAUGUUGGCUUAGAAGCAGCCAUCAUUUAAAGAGUGCGUAAUAGCUCACUAGUCGAGUGACACUGCGCCGAAAAUGUACCGGGGCUAAACAUAUUACCGAAGCUGUGGAUUGUCCUUUGGACAAUGGUAGGAGAGCGUUCUAAGGGCGUUGAAGCAUGAUCGUAAGGAC
Molecule: ribosomal RNA, 750 nt
Filed under: Staphylococcus aureus
Lineage: Bacteria; Bacillati; Bacillota; Bacilli; Caryophanales; Staphylococcaceae
Description: partial 23S ribosomal RNA
Rfam family: Bacterial large subunit ribosomal RNA
Source: RNAcentral